Manis javanica (Malayan pangolin) is the source of this 1089-nucleotide non-coding RNA. NCBI's taxonomy places the organism in Eukaryota, Metazoa, Chordata, Mammalia, Pholidota, Manidae. The record is from RefSeq and is a predicted model, not a curated record.
ACCAUAAGCAUCCAUUUCUCUUGGCUGCAUAAACACACGUGGAACUGCUGGAUUAGGGUACGCUCCUUUCGUAGAUACUCCAAACUGUUUUUUAAAAUUGUUAGAAUUUACAUUCCAGCAACAGGGUAGGAUUCUGUUACUCCACAUCCUCGCCAACAUUUGUUACAAACUGCAGACUGCCAGUGAGUUUUCGACUUUGCUCGAGUUUUGCUCACUCCGCCGCCACUAGGUCAUCUGGUCAAGAGAAUGAAGUGUGCGUCUAGGGCGGGCCGAAUCCUGGGAGUAUUCUGGAAGUCUGAGCGCUGUGUAACUUACGCAGGCUUCCUCGGCCAGUGUCUUUGCGCUGUAGUCCACGCCCUGGGAGCUCCUGCAGGCAGCUAGUCCCGCCGCCGCACACCCGGGUCCCUGGGGGGCGCCGGCAUCUCAGAGCGGCCGCCCCCCAGCAACCAGCCGGGACCCGGAGGCGGCGGGAGGGCGCCGGGCGGCGCGGAGCAUGCGCAGACCCAGCGCGGCGCAUGCUCUGCAGCGCGGCGGGCCCGCGGGUGAGAUGAGUAGAGGUUUCCGCGCCCUGCUGUCCUCGGCUGAGCGAUUGCUGAGAUGCUUGUUCUGAAACUUGGCUGCCAAUAAAGUUCACUUAAAAAAUCGUAGUCAUUCUUAAAAGAGAGAAAAAGGCUGCGAUCCAGGCGGGCGGCCCCGCCAGGAGGUCGCGGAGACGGCGGCGGUGGCGAUUGCGCCGCGGCCGGGAGGAGCCGGCGGCGUCUGGCGGUGGGUCCGCGGCCGGCUGGAGACGAUUUAAGAGGGAAGAUCUGAUCACCUGGAAUUAAAUUUGGUACAGAAACCUUUUCAACUCCAAAAAUGUUGGAGGAAGAUAUAGAAGUGGCCAUCAAGAUGGUGGUUGUAGGGAACGGAGCAGUUGGAAAAUCAAGUAUGAUUCAGCGAUACUGCAAAGGCAUUUUUACAAAAGACUACAAGAAAACCAUCGGAGUUGAUUUUUUGGAGCGACAAAUCCAAAACUGAUGCUUGACUCAGGAUUUCCGUCCACUACAGGCAUACCUUGGAGAUAUGCAGUUAAGUGGAUACUGCAAUUAA